GAUGAACGCUGGCGGCGUGCUUAACACAUGCAAGUCGAACGGAAAGGCUCCUGCUUGCAGGGGUACUCGAGUGGCGAACGGGUGAGUAACACGUGGGUGAUCUGCCCUGCACUUCGGGAUAAGCCUGGGAAACUGGGUCUAAUACCGGAUAGGACCACAUUUUGGAUGGUGUGGUGGAAAGUUUUUCGGUGUGGGAUGAGCUCGCGGCCUAUCAGCUUGUUGGUGGGGUAAUGGCCUACCAAGGCGUCGACGGGUAGCCGGCCUGAGAGGGUGUACGGCCACAUUGGGACUGAGAUACGGCCCAGACUCCUACGGGAGGCAGCAGGGGGGAAUAUUGCACAAUGGGCGCAAGCCUGAUGCAGCGACGCCGCGUGGGGGAUGACGGCCUUCGGGUUGUAAACUCCUUUCGCUAGGGACGAAGCGCAAGUGACGGUACCUGGAGAAGAAGCACCGGCUAACUACGUG
This 465-nucleotide ribosomal RNA is filed under the name uncultured bacterium. RNAcentral's name for it is "partial 16S ribosomal RNA". It matches the Rfam family "Bacterial small subunit ribosomal RNA", at positions 28 to 507 of the family's 1533-position model. The record is from RNAcentral.